GGACUUGUAGCUCAAGUGGUUAGAGCAGUCAACAGUUUUGUCGUAAAUUGUUGUACAUCUUGUGGGUUCAAAUCCCACCAAGUCCU
This 86-nucleotide transfer RNA is filed under the name Metabacillus litoralis. RNAcentral describes it as "tRNA-OTHER". It matches the Rfam family "tRNA". Rfam says of the family: Transfer RNA (tRNA) molecules are approximately 80 nucleotides in length. Their secondary structure includes four short double-helical elements and three loops (D, anti-codon, and T loops). Further hydrogen bonds mediate the characteristic L-shaped molecular structure. tRNAs have two regions of fundamental functional importance: the anti-codon, which is responsible for specific mRNA codon recognition, and the 3' end, to which the tRNAs corresponding amino acid is attached (by aminoacyl-tRNA synthetases). tRNAs cope with the degeneracy of the genetic code in two manners: having more than one tRNA (with a specific anti-codon) for a particular amino acid; and 'wobble' base-pairing, i.e. permitting non-standard base-pairing at the 3rd anti-codon position. Lineage: Bacteria; Bacillati; Bacillota; Bacilli; Caryophanales; Bacillaceae. RNAcentral also lists the same sequence under 3 other names. The record is from RNAcentral.